CACCAAGAAAUUAAGUUAUACUAUUUUAUGGUUAAAAGACAGUUAAAUGUUUAAAACAUAGUAUGGGUCAGUCUGAUGUUCUAUAUAGAGGUAAAAUUCAAGUAUAGAUGUAUAAUUUGUUAGUGGCUUAUAAAUUGAAUCUGUGAAAUCCUUAUGGGAAACUGGGAUUAGGUACCCCAUUAUUUCUGGAUAUAAAUUGAAUGAAAUUUACCAGAGUACUAUGAAUAUUAAAAAAUUUAAAACUCAAAGAACUUGGCGGUGUUUUAGACCACUUAGGGGAACCUGUCUCGUAAUCGAUAGUCCACGUUGUAUCUGACCUUUCUUUGUUUACAGUUUGUAUACCGUUGUCGUCAGUUAACUUUUUAGAAACUAGAAGUUAGCAACAGAAAUAGAUGAUUUAAUACGUCAAAUCAAGGUGCAGCUAAUGGAAAGGGGAGGAUGGGUUACAAUUAUGUUAUUUAUAAUACGGAAAAUCGUAUGAAAAUAUGUUGAUUUUUAAGGCGGACUUGAAAGUAAAUUAGGUUAUAUGAAUAAUUUGAAUUAGGCUCUGAAACGUGU
This 558-nucleotide ribosomal RNA is filed under the name Myurellopsis kilburni. RNAcentral describes it as "partial 12S ribosomal RNA". Lineage: Eukaryota; Metazoa; Mollusca; Gastropoda; Neogastropoda; Terebridae. The record is from RNAcentral.